GGGGGGCAGGGGGCGGCUGGAGAAUAUCUAGAUUUGUGUCGCAAAGGGCGCAAUAUCUCGCCGAGUUAAAAUCCCAGCAGGUGGGCUGACGGGGCCACCUGCAGCCAGGAGAACUUGGGGGAACCUCCAAGUACAAACUGCAGAUGUGGCAACAGCUGGUGUCUAAUCCCUGAGGGCACAGUCUCUCCUCCUUCCCCAGUGAAAGUGAAGAAUCUCAUAGAAUCCUUGUGAGGAUGAAUGAACUAAUUCAUGUUUGAAGAAAAAAAUGAUUCUGACACUUACUUUAAAGGUGAGGAAGACUUAUUCGAGACUGUUGGGAUCCCCUCUAAGUGCUUAUUCUUAUUUCCAGGAGGGGAGAGACCACGUGGAAACCUGAAAGACUGCCUGGGUGGGUCCUAAGAUCCUAUCAAGACACAGACUCUCUCCAGAUAUGAAGAACAGAGUUUUCCAGGACUCUCCAGGCAAGAAUACUGGAGUGGGUUGCCGUGCCCUUCCCCAGGGGAUCUUCCUGAUCCAGGGAUCGAACCCAUGUCUCCUGUGGCUCCUGACUUGCAGGUGGAUUCUUUAUUUCUGAGCCACAGGGGACACCAUUAUAAUAGCAGAAACUCCCUACAAGGAAGAUAAUGGAGGAGGCUGGGCCCUGCCAGAUAAGAGAUAAAAGACCACAUCGUCCUCAUACUUGAAGUUAAGCAGACCUCCCCAACUACACAUGCGCAGAAAGGCUCCUUGGAGGUCAAAAAAGGAGGGGGCAUCACCUCAUAGUAAGUGAUGUCUACCUACCUACGGUCAUCUGCACUAGACUCCAUCUUGGCCAAGAGAUGCGCAUGCACAUGUGGGAGGACCCUGAACUAAACCAGGGCAGCCUCAGGACCAGGCAAAGCACGAUUGGUCAAAGGAAACCUGGAAGAAAUGCCCCAUAAAAGUGAUUCAAACUACCACGAGGACACUUUCCCUCUGAGCCCGCCCUUGUGUAUAUCCACACAUAUUGUACUCUGUUUUUCCUCCUAAUAAAUACUUUGUUUCA
Cervus elaphus (red deer) is the source of this 1024-nucleotide long non-coding RNA. RefSeq lists it as uncharacterized. Lineage: Eukaryota; Metazoa; Chordata; Mammalia; Artiodactyla; Cervidae. The record is from RefSeq and is a predicted model, not a curated record. The transcript has 2 exons.